This 615-nucleotide long non-coding RNA is filed under the name Chinchilla lanigera (long-tailed chinchilla). RNAcentral describes it as "lncRNA (ENSCLAG00000022378.1)". The record is from RNAcentral. Lineage: Eukaryota; Metazoa; Chordata; Mammalia; Rodentia; Chinchillidae.
GCUGACCAUUUUAUGAUGGUUUCUGGGAAGACUGAAGAGAACAUUGAAUUUUUAAAAUGACUCUAACCAUGGAACAGCUGAUUUGUGCAAUUAGGAGCACAAUACUGAAUGUUGCAGAGCAUGCCGUCCAGUACUGUAAACAUUUCCCUUGUGUUCCAAAGGCUGAACCACUGCAGCCAUACGAAAGGAAGGAGGAAACUGAAUAAGCAUAUUUGAAUAAUGGGUCUCCCAAGAGGCACACAUGGUAUUCACCCACUUCAGCCAAAUCGAUCAAGAAUCAUGCUGCCCUGCUCCUCAAAUAUCAAAGACAUUACCCAAAGGAGGGUAAACAGAUCCUGCUUAGGUCAAAAACAAUGAAUGUUCAAAACAGUAUACCCAAAUGUAGAUUCUGAAUUUUAUUUUUCACUAUAUACCUAGUAGUCAUCCACAGUCAUUAUAGAUUCAUAAAUUUAUAUUUUUAGCUCAGAUAUUUGCUGAAUUUUAGUAUCAUAAGUCAGUGACCAAGAGACAUUAUCAAGUAGCUCACAUAAGCCUCACAUUAUGAGAGAUUAAACUCAAACUUGAUACCUUUCCUUCCAAACUUGUGCCUUAUCCUGUACCACUCAUGUCUAUUAU